Small nuclear RNA from Salvia miltiorrhiza (redroot sage), 120 nucleotides. RefSeq annotates it as U5 spliceosomal RNA. The record is from RefSeq and is a predicted model, not a curated record. NCBI's taxonomy places the organism in Eukaryota, Viridiplantae, Streptophyta, Magnoliopsida, Lamiales, Lamiaceae. The transcript has a single exon.
CAGCUGCGCAAUGGGCACAUAGCGAACUAUUCUUUCGCCUUUUACUAAAGAAUACCGUGUUCUCAUUGCAAUUCAAGCACCAUACAUCACUUUUUGGGAGUAUUUUCUUUAUUGGAAAAC